CACACCGCCCGUCACACCAUGGGAGUUGAUUGCUCCAGAAGUGGCCGCGCUAACCCGCAAGGGGGGCAGGUCCCUAAGGAGUGGUCGAUGACUGGGGUGAAGUCGUAACAAAGGUACC
RNAcentral lists this ribosomal RNA (118 nucleotides) under uncultured bacterium. RNAcentral describes it as "partial 16S ribosomal RNA". It matches the Rfam family "Bacterial small subunit ribosomal RNA", at positions 1386 to 1500 of the family's 1533-position model. The record is from RNAcentral.